RNAcentral lists this unclassified non-coding RNA (218 nucleotides) under Hevea brasiliensis (rubber tree). Lineage: Eukaryota; Viridiplantae; Streptophyta; Magnoliopsida; Malpighiales; Euphorbiaceae. The record is from RNAcentral.
GAUAAUAUUUCCAAAUACAAUUUUCUAUGUACUGGUGUGGCCUGUAACAGACCAACCGACCUUUUAUGUGAUAAUUGAUACUAUGGUUUAUGUUAUGAAGAAUAAUCCCAAUAUGAGGAUUUUUUUUCCUCGUCAUGUGAUGAACUAAUUGGAAUUUUAUCAGGAUUUGACCAACCCAUGCUUCGGCCCCCAUUUGGGGUACUUUUUUUUUUUAGAAA